Molecule: long non-coding RNA, 2811 nt
Organism: Mugil cephalus (flathead mullet)
Lineage: Eukaryota; Metazoa; Chordata; Actinopteri; Mugiliformes; Mugilidae
Exons: 2
Source: RefSeq, a predicted model, not a curated record
GACCUUGUAGUUAACGCUUUUCCGGUUUGAGAAAAAAGAGGGAGAGACGGAGUAACGAGGCGGGGGAAUAGCGCUGAGCGGGUAGCCUUGGAUUAUGUAUGUGUUGGACGAUUUGUUGAGAGUGUGUGAGUCGGACUCCUUGCUGCAAUUAGGGUUUUGUGUGGACAUGAAACAAGUGGAUUAAGUUAGCUAGCAGGAACUGGGCGAGCCGCACAGCCAUCGUUAGCUAGCAGGAGCUAGGCUAGCGUACCUGUCAUCGUUAGCUAGCAGGGGCUAGGCUAGCGUCACGGUCCUCGUUAGCUAGCAGGGGCUAGGCUAGCAGCACGGUCAUUGAGGGCGGACAUCACCCGUUUCGCUGUUGCCGGGGGAGACAGAACCUCGUCGCUGCGAGCUGUUGCGGGCGGAGAUGAUUGCUGUCGAGACGGGGGAGCGACUCGUCACCGACGGCCUGGUCCUGCUGUCUUCACCGAUACGGGAGGUACUGUUAUAAAAGUAAAAAAAUAAAAAUAAAAAAUAUAAAAUUUUCUUCCAUGAGCUCCAACUAAACCGCGCCAACGAACUAAACUAAGUGCACUCAAAAUUAGACAGUUUGAGUUCUAUCACUACCCAGGUUUCUAGUUUUUUUAUUUUAUUUUUUUAUUUUGCUCUUUUCCAUAAACAAAGGUGACUGCGUUUCCUUGUUCAUAUGUUUAAUACAGUUCCUAAAAUUGAUAUGCUGUGUUUGUAUUAUGGAGUUGUGUUUCAUCAUUGAAAUAUUACAUUCUGCCCAAGCAAUUACUGGUGAAAGUGUAUUCUCCAUAGCCUCUGCACAGAUAUUAGUGAAAGUGAGAAUCAUAUAUUACCCUAGACCAGGGACAGGCACCUGGCGACCCCCGGGCUGCAUGCGGUCCAUGCUCUCCCUCAGAGUGGCCCCUAGAAUAUUUUUUGAAAAUGAUAAAAAUGUUUCCUCUACUGCACCAGAUCAGUUUUACAUUGUAAUAACAGAGUUCACCGCUAGAUGGGGCGUCCUAUGCAGACGCAAGAAAAUCGCGUCUUUCAGGCACAAUGGAAAUCACAUUAUCUGACCUAAGUCGCCACUAAAACACUUUGCACAAAGUUAAAUAUGAGAAGUACACUGACGCUGUCAGGGCUGCCUUGCAUCGACGAUCUCAAAUCUAAAGUACACAAACAACAGCAAUGUUUUACCAGAGCUGCAACCACACAGGAGACUGCACUCACAGCAUCUUAUGUUGAGCUGGAGCUUGCUAAAGCAAAGAAGCCCUUGUCAGAUGCCAUGGAACUGGCCAGAGCUUACGGUGAUGCUAACCAGGUUAAAAACUUUGAUACGUUCUCUUUGUGUAGUCGCACAGUGACACGUAGAAUUUUUGACAUUCACGAUCAUGUCGAGGGGAAAAUGAAACAAGUUAUGCGUGACUGCAAGUACUUCUCCCUGGCCUUGGAUGGAAGUACAGAUGUGAUGGAUGUCAGCCAGCUACUGAUUUUUACAAGGACUGUUGACGGUUCGUUUGAAGUGCAUGAGGAGUUGCUAAAAAUGGUGUCUUUGCAUGAUACCACCAAGGGCACGAACAUAUUCAGCGCCGUUAAUACUGUUGCAAACGCGUAUAGUGGCUUUGACCAGCUGUCAGCUGUUUUCACAGAUUCAACAAAGCGGAGAGUGAACUGCCUUAUACUGCGCCGUAUCAUACAUCAGGAGGCCCUCUGCGCCAAGACACUUAACUUUAGCCACGUUAUCGACUUGGUGACUAAAGUAAUAAAUCUCAUCCGAGGAGGGAACAGAUCCCUGAGUCACAGGAGAUUUUGCCUUUUUGAAUGAAGUGGAUGCCGCUUAUGGUGAUUUGCAAAUGUGAGGUCCGAUGGAUGAGUUGGGGAAAGUGUCUGCAGAGUUUUUUUUGUGCUGCGCUCCGAAAUUCCAGUCUUUUUGGAAGACGAAGUUCGUGGUGAUUACUGCAGGAAACUCAAAGACACUGCGUUUCUAUGCCACAUGGCAUUCCUUACUGACAUCAGUGCACACCUUAAUGAGCGGAACACGAAGUUGCAGGGGAGAGACCAAACUGUGACCUGUGUGUACAUGUGAAUGCAUUUCAGCGCAAAUUAGACUUGUUCAAAGAGGGAUUUUCAUACUGUCAUCCAAAUUUGGCACAUUUUCCUGCUUAUGAGGAGAUGCAAAAAAAAAAUGUCCCGAAGACUGACUUCGCAAAUAGAAGACCGAUGUCGAGAGACUGCAGGAGCAGUUAAGCAUCGUUUCCAAGAUUUUCACACAAUGCAGCCACAGAUACUUUGCGAUCUGCAGUUGGAUCCGUUUUUUUCAGGGGAGGUGCAAUGAGAAGGAGGAAUGAAAACGAGAAUUUCGUUUUGUGGGAAUUUCCCACUCCUCCGAGAUUUUGCUCUCUCAAUGAUCAGUGUGUUUGGGAGCACAUACAUCUGUGAGAGCAGUCGUUCGACAUUGAAGCACAUCAAGUCAAAAGAGAGAAACAGGCUCACGAAUGACACUCUUUUUUUUACCUGAUGUGAAUUGGAAGCACAAAGAUGGACAUUGACAUCCACUCUAUUGUGCGCCAACAGGCAAAGCCGCAUGUUUCUCAUUAAAAGAGAACCAGUCCUACUGAUUUAUGUUGGGGGUGAGGUACAACAGGUAUGCAGGGAAAAUAUGAGAGCCCUUUGUAGUGGGAAAAAAAAUCACAGUAUGUAGUUAUUUGUUUGCUUCAAACCCUUUGUUGUUGAAGAGUGGAUCUGUUAUACAUGCAUUUGAGCAUGAAAUGUAUUAAGAUACUGUGAUGUAUGUUGGUUCAAUAAACAUACAGUUUUGUUUCA